UAAUUUCAAUAUUAUUUAUAUAUUUUUGAUAUGCUCAUGCAUUUUAUAAAUAUAUUUAUAUACUUAGUUAAAUACAUUAGGAGUAUUCUUAUUGUUGCAUAUUUAUUUAUUGAUAAUUACUUAUAUUUGCCGCCCUGGAGAUAAUUUAGAGCUGUGUUUUAUGUUUAUAUAUGAGUGUGUGUGUUGGACAGGUAGUCGCAGUUUGAGUUAGUUUCGCUGGAACCCGAUCCUUAUAAAUAUGUAAAGUUAGGGUGAGGCACUGCUAUGAGUUGAUCUCGCUGGCCUCCGCACAUGGAUUUAAGUGAAAGUCUAGCUUAAGUUGAGCUUACUAGUAAAUCUUGGAAUAAGAGAACUGGAUAGGGAUCAACUCCCAUAGUAUGUAUGGAAAUACUAUUCUAAGUGAAUGUGUAGCUCCAAAUUUUUUUCUUGUGGGAGAAUUGGGUUAUUUGCUUGAUAUAAGUGCUCAGUGUGCAUUUCAUAUUUAGGAUUCUAUUAAUUUUGGAUAGCUAUAGAAAUUAUAUUUAU
RNAcentral lists this unclassified non-coding RNA (525 nucleotides) under Hevea brasiliensis (rubber tree). Lineage: Eukaryota; Viridiplantae; Streptophyta; Magnoliopsida; Malpighiales; Euphorbiaceae. The record is from RNAcentral.